GACUUCAAAUACUCUUUGUCCUGCCCCUGCUUGGCGAAAUUUACCGAAAUUAUCUACCUAUCCCGCUGGAGUGGGAGCCGGGGGAGAGCUGGAACCGCGUCUCUGCUGCUCACCUUUGUGUCCUUAGCUCCUUCGCAUGGGGUCCGACCGCAACACGUGCGCUGGAUAAACGCUUGUUAACUGGGUGAGAGCCAAGGCCUGUUCUUUCCACUUCUGGGGCUGUGACUUGAGUUUCUCCGCAGGAGCAGAUAGUGUUUGUGUAGGGACUGCGGACUUUUGCAUUACAGCCUCCCUGCUUUGCCCGCCUGCUGCUGGAAGCUUAGCAGGUAAAAGUCUUGCAGUGAAAAACCCGAGGACCCUUACCGCAAGUGUCUUUUGCUCCCAGCUACUGAUACUGGAUUCCACUCGUGAUUCUCCCUUUCUUAGCGCAUUCAUGAUAUAGACAUCAGUCUCUGAGCUGGAGGAGGACAAAGGCAGCGGUCCUGUGAAUUCUAUGCUCUAGCUUGGGUUAAGGGAUUUGGAAUUGCACUUGUUUCAGAGAGCUCCCUCUUUGCCCACUAGCAGGGCAUUAGCUGGUGCUGAAGACAGUGGCUGCUUGGCGAGCCUGGAUCUCCAAGUGACCCCCUCAGCAACUCCUGAUGAACAGGACUGAAGCCAAUAUUAAAGCAAGUCAACCAAAGGUUCUCUGGUGUAGACAAGACAGCAAAAGGACAGACUACCUUGUGGAACCUAGCAUUGUUCUCCUUCUGCAGCACUAAGUAACAUUUGUUCUCCGUUAAGAUCUUUGCAAACCACACACAAGAAUUGCUGGUCAUCCUGCCAAUAGAUGCUGCUCACAGAACCAAAUUUCCUGUGCUGAAUUGUCACUCAUGGGCUUGAGAGUAGGAGACUGGAGACCAAGGUGGCUAGAAUCCAGUUGGGCCUGAUGUCUCCCUGUUGAAAGGGCUCCUUGUGGAAUGAAUAGCACAUGGCUCCUGUGGUGGAUCUGAUAGUGGCAUAGCACCAAGUGAUGCAGGCCUGCCAGGGGCCACAGACACAGAAGAUGCUCCCGGGGUCCCCCAUGUACUCCAGACACACUGCAGGCCACCUCUCCCAGCAGGUUGCCAGUCAUGGGCCCCAUCAUCAUGACUUCUGUCCAAGGUGUGCUCGGAAAUCUCUUCCUUAACUGUGACUUUCUGACAGGUGGAGGAUGUGGUCAGGAGUGGGAAAAGGAUUCGAGACGGGAAGAGGGAGGGGUUCAGGAUGAAGAGAGAUAAUCUGUGCCACAGAUGCUGGCCCUGCAGUUAGCUCCCACCUAGUCCGUGCACACACAUUCUAAUCCCCUCCCAUUCCUUUACAUGCUGCGGCCAGAGAGGCCUUUCUCAAAGUGGAAGUCUCAUCCUCACUUCUCUGGUUACAGUGCUGGGCCAUGGUAACUUACAAGGCUUAGCAGGAACUGUCUGCGCACUCCCCCUUCCUGCCCACUACCUUGUUUCCCUCCAGUUGCGAGAGAAAACAUUGAUUGAGCAUUAACUAUGUGCCAGGCUUGUCCUAAGUCCUUUGCAUGUAUUCACUCAAACAAUCCUCACAACAUUCCUAUCACAUCUCCCAUUUCACAGUGAGGGUUCUAAAGCACGUAGUGGGUGAGGAACUUGUCCAGGGUCACACAACUAAGUGGGGGUGGAGAAACAUCAAAUCUAGGUGGUCCAGGUGGUGGCCAGAACCCAUCAGCACCUCACUACAGCUGCCUCCAGUUUCUCGCUCUAGGAAAUACUCUUCCCUGUCAACUCCUGUUGUCCUCUGGGCUCAGUUGACAUGUCAUCUCCUUGAGGAGGACAUCCUGAGAUGCUCCCCGACUAGGGUGGGCACCCACUUCCACACUCCAAAUGCCUAUUUGACCUGUGUAUCGCUGCAUCCCCACUGCCUGGCAGAUAGCAGGCCCCUAAUAAAUAUGAUUUGAGCAAAUAAAUAUAGUUCUUCAAAAAAUAGGGAGGACUUCUUGCUUCAGGUAAUGGUAGGCUAGGACAUUUGGACCAACCCUCCUGCAGAAAAUAGCCAUUUAUUUUGAUGCAAUAUAUCUGGCUAUGACUAGAGAUUUCAAAUAUUUGGAGGGCUAUUAUGUGAAGAACUAAACUUACUCUUUGUGACAUAGAGGUCAGAAAUUGGUCGUUUCCAUAGAGUAUGAGAGAGACAGAAUUGUGCUCAUCAUAAGUAUCUUUUUUAAAAGUUAGACUUAAUAAAAUGGGCUGCCUUGGUAGGUGGUGAGUUCUCUGUCACGAAAGAGAUUCAGCCACUUGCUCUGAGAAAGCAUGGAGAAUAUCAACAUUGUAAGGGUCGACCACCUCAUCUCUGAGGCCCCCUCCUCACUUAGGUUGCCAUUGCAGGUGGAACACUGGGCUGAGUGUCAAAGAACCUGGGUUCCACAAACUGUGCGACCAUGGCUGGUUGUUUUGGAUCUCAUUCCUAAUAUCUGUUAGUUAAGCUGACCCGUCAAUACUGACCCACUUCACAGAGUUAUGAAGGGAUUAAAUUAGGUAUUACAUGUAAAUCUGUUUUGUUUGCUUUUUGUUGUUCUUUUUUGUUUUGCUUUUUUCUUUGCAUUAUGAAAUCCCAAGUCAACUUUUUCCAUUCUUUUAUUUUUUUAAAAAUUGACAUCAUCAUUAUAACCACAAAAUAAUUUUUAAAAUGGAAAAAAAAAACUCACCUGCAACCCCACAAUCUAAUACAAUAAUCAUACUUUUUUCCCUUUAUUCUCCUUUAUUGUGACCAAGGAUGACUUUGGGCAUUGCUGUGAGGAACUAUUUCGUUUAACACCCUACUACCUGAACAUGAUGCGUACUCAGCCUUUCACCACCCCCCAAGUAGCUACACAUGAUGUGAUAAUAGUAUUGGUGGUGGUUUUAGAGAGUUGGAGAGAAAACUGAAGUUGGAUUUGGGUAAAAGAAAAAAGAGUGGGAAUUAUUUUUUCUCCAUUCUAAAGCCCAUAAAGCAAUGUUAAUUGUUCCCACCCCUCUGCUAUUCUGUCUCCUCAGGUACUGUGUGCAGAAAUGUGAUUGAGAUUCAAGUCAGGGCCUCUCUGCCCUUUUCCCUCCAGAAACAAAACCAAGAUAAUUUAUCCUGAACACGGUGAAAAAAGGAAGGGAGGGAGGAGAAAAAGUCCGGGUCUCACCUGGGAUUCUCUGUCUCCUGCAACAUGAAGGAUUUAGCCUGGGAGGAGGUGGUGAGAACUCUGGGAGAGAAAAAAGAAGGAAAGAAUAGUUUUACCCAUGCUGAAGUUAAUUUAAACCUUCACCUAGAGAAGCAAAAAAAAAAAACCCACACUUUCCCAUUUUGUGCCUCCCUUCCUAGAGUUUUAGCCAAAGGUUUAGCUAAGUAAUUGGUUUUACCAGCGCACUCACUCCUCCUAUCCCAAGUCUGUUUGACUCCCUCCCCAUCAUCCUCCUCACCUCUUUUCAGGCAGGGUGGGGAUAGCAGCAGGAGGAGAUUUUGGGAGCCUGGCAACUCCUGCAAGGACCGCAGGACAGCCCCUCUGUGGGGAUGCGUGGUGCCCCAUCUGCCGCCCUUCUGAAGAAUGCACUGCCUUCACUUUUUACUGUGUUAGAGUCCAUCCAGACUGUUCUAUCCAAAAAAGUUUCUUUUUCCCCCACAGGCAAUCAGGAAAUGAUUCCUUUCCCGACUGCUUCUGUCUAGUGCCUGGGAAUCUUGAGUCAAUCCCUCAGUAAGUCAGUGACUAGGGAAAUCCCUCUCUGAGCCUCCCAGUUCAUGUUGCUUAGGGAACCUGAUAUUUUCGUGAAACCUGCCUACACAUGGGCAGCCCAACAGCAGAACAAAUGGUGGUGACCAAAGUGAACAAAGAAGUAUAGUUGUGCCAGCUUCGUAGUUGCCCAUGUGGACAAGUCAGCAGGAUCAGGACACGAGGAAGAGUAAAUGUGAGACAGUCAAUGUGACUUCUGCGAUAAACAGAUUUUUAAACCCCGAAAUUUUGCAAAAUUUUGGUGAAACCUGAACUUUCUUCGUUGCAUAUACUGGCACUAUCUGUACCAUCAUACAACUGUCUCACAUUAAAGCUAUUUUUCUUGGGCACUGAUGAGUAAGGUUGGUAUAAGUUCCUCAGAUCAACAAAAACCCAUUUUCCUGUAAGUCUUACAUUUAGUAUUUAAGGAACUAAAACUUAAAUACAUUUUGUGAAAUGGUUGACACUUCACUGAUAAUGAUUUAUUGCUUGGAUUAAUAAAUUUUCCAAAAGUUGUCUUAUGUAGAAUAUGGUUUGCAACCAGCAGAACCAUUAAUCUAUACUGCAAUGAUAUGCACUAUGUAUAAUUGUUUAAAAGCCUCUACUUAAUGAUGUAAAAUGCUCUAUUUAAUUACACAUUUGGGUAAACUGUAUACUAACAUCUGAUGGCAUUUUUCCACUGUUUGUUGCUUUUUUCAAAUACUUUAUUGUACAAAGCUGUUCUUAAUAUUUUUCAAGUUUUUUUCUUUGAAUUUUGCUAAUGUUUUCCUUGAAUUAUGAGCACUGACAGAAUGUGCUUAGCACUUUUGGCUAUUCACACAGCUUUUGAGCAUGAUUUGCAUCCAAUAUUUACAUUGCUAGCAAUAAUAAGCCAUCUGUGAGUUUUGUCAAAA
RNAcentral lists this small RNA (4605 nucleotides) under Homo sapiens (human). Its description in RNAcentral is "HLA complex group 18 (ENSG00000224705.6)". Lineage: Eukaryota; Metazoa; Chordata; Mammalia; Primates; Hominidae. The record is from RNAcentral.